GGGGAAUAUUGCGCAAUGGGGGAAACCCUGACGCAGCAACGCCGCGUGAAGGAUGAAGGCUUUCGGGCUGUAAACUUCUUUGAUCGGGGACGAAAACUGACGGUACCCGAGGAACAAGCCACGGCUAACUACGUGCCAGCAGCCGCGGUAAUACGUAGGUGGCGAGCGUUGUCCGGAAUUACUGGGUGUAAAGGGCGUGUAGGCGGGAUGUCAAGUCAGAUGUGAAAUACCGAGGCUUAACUUCGGGGGUGCAUCUGAAACUGAUAUUCUUGAGUGUCGGAGAGGAAAGUGGAAUUCCCAGUGUAGCGGUGAAAUGCGUAGAGAUUGGGAGGAACACCAGUGGCGAAGGCGGCUUUCUGGACGAUAACUGACGCUGAGGCGCGAAAGCGUGGGUAGCAAAC
RNAcentral lists this ribosomal RNA (401 nucleotides) under uncultured bacterium. RNAcentral's name for it is "bacterial SSU rRNA". It matches the Rfam family "Bacterial small subunit ribosomal RNA", at positions 356 to 773 of the family's 1533-position model. The record is from RNAcentral.